CCCUCCCUCUGGCGGCAUGCCUAACACAUGCAAGUCGAACGAGACCUUCGGGUCUAGUGGCGCACGGGUGCGUAACGCGUGGGAACCUGCACUUAGGUUCGGAAUAACUCUCCGAAAGGGGUGCUAAUACCGGAUAAUGUCUUCGGACCAAAGAUUUAUCGCCUUUGGAUGGGCCAGCGUUGGAUUAGCUAGUUGGUAGGGUAAAAGCCUACUAAGGCGACGAUCCAUAGCUGGUCUGAGAGGAUGAUCAGCCACACUGGGACUGGGACACGGCCCAGACUCCUACGGGAGGCAGCAGUGGGGAAUAUUGGACAAUGGGCGAAAGCCUGAUCCAGCAAUGCCGCGUGAGUGAUGAAGGCCUUAAGGUUGUAAAGCGCUUUUACCCGGGAUGAUAAUGACGGUACCGGGAGAAUAAGCUCCGGCUAACUCCGUG
RNAcentral lists this ribosomal RNA (433 nucleotides) under uncultured bacterium. RNAcentral's name for it is "partial 16S ribosomal RNA". It matches the Rfam family "Bacterial small subunit ribosomal RNA", at positions 36 to 507 of the family's 1533-position model. The record is from RNAcentral.